UAAAGUGGCGUACGGGUGAGUAACACGUGGAUGAUCUACCUCUUAGUGGGGGGAUAACCUUGGGAAACCGGGGCUAAUACCGCAUAAGCCUGAAAAGGGAAAGGAGCAAUUCGCUGAGAGAGGAGUCCGCGGCUGAUUAGCUAGUUGGUGAGGUAACGGCCCACCAAGGCAAUGAUCGGUAGCCGGCCUGAGAGGGCACACGGCCACACUGGCACUGAAACACGGGCCAG
Molecule: ribosomal RNA, 230 nt
Filed under: uncultured bacterium
Lineage: Bacteria
Description: partial 16S ribosomal RNA
Rfam family: Bacterial small subunit ribosomal RNA
Source: RNAcentral